Molecule: ribosomal RNA, 426 nt
Filed under: uncultured bacterium
Lineage: Bacteria
Description: bacterial SSU rRNA
Rfam family: Bacterial small subunit ribosomal RNA
Source: RNAcentral
UGGGGAAUCUUGCGCAAUGGGCGAAAGCCUGACGCAGCAACGCCGCGUGAGGGAUGAAGGUCUUCGGGUUGUAAACCUCUUUCGAGCAGGGACGAUUGUGACGGUACCUGCAGAAGAAGCUCCGGCCAACUACGUGCCAGCAGCCGCGGUGAUACGUAGGGAGCGAGCGUUGUCCGGAUUCAUUGGGCGUAAAGAGCUCGUAGGCGGCUCAGUAAGUCAGGUGUGAAAUCCUCAGGCUCAACCUGGGGCUGCCAUCUGAUACUGCUGUGGCUAGAGCCCGGUAGGGGUCCACGGAAUUCCUGGUGUAGCGGUGAAAUGCGCAGAUAUCAGGAGGAACACCAGUGGCGAAGGCGGUGGACUGGGCCGGUACUGACGCUGAGGAGCGAAAGCGUGGGGAGCGAACAGGAUUAGAUACCCCAGUAGUCC